This 68-nucleotide transfer RNA is filed under the name Salix viminalis (osier). The record is from RNAcentral. Lineage: Eukaryota; Viridiplantae; Streptophyta; Magnoliopsida; Malpighiales; Salicaceae.
AUUGAGGUUUCAUAGUUUUGGCACCAUUUUGAUUGGAAAGGGUGUGGGUUCAAAUCCCACUCUCAAUA